Molecule: ribosomal RNA, 465 nt
Filed under: uncultured bacterium
Lineage: Bacteria
Description: partial 16S ribosomal RNA
Rfam family: Bacterial small subunit ribosomal RNA
Source: RNAcentral
GACGAACGCUGGCGGCGUGCUUAACACAUGCAAGUCGAACGGAAAGGCCCUGCUUGCAGGGUACUCGAGUGGCGAACGGGUGAGUAACACGUGGGUGAUCUGCCCUGCACUUCGGGAUAAGCCUGGGAAACUGGGUCUAAUACCGGAUAGGAGCCCUUUUUAGUGUGAUGGUUGGAAAGUUUUUUCGGUGUAGGAUGAGCUCGCGGCCUAUCAGCUUGUUGGUGGGGUAAUGGCCUACCAAGGCGGCGACGGGUAGCCGGCCUGGGAGGGUGGACGGCCACAUUGGGACUGAGAUACGGCCCAGACUCCUACGGGAGGCAGCAGUGGGGAAUAUUGCACAAUGGGCGCAAGCCUGAUGCAGCGACGCCGCGUGGGGGAUGACGGCCUUCGGGUUGUAAACUCCUUUCGCUAGGGACGAAGCUUUUUGUGACGGUACCUAGAUAAGAAGCACCGGCUAACUACGUG